This 511-nucleotide ribosomal RNA is filed under the name uncultured bacterium. RNAcentral describes it as "bacterial SSU rRNA". It matches the Rfam family "Bacterial small subunit ribosomal RNA", at positions 15 to 518 of the family's 1533-position model. The record is from RNAcentral.
GAUUCUGGCUCAGGAUGAACGCUAGCUACAGGCUUAACACAUGCAAGUCGAGGGGCAGCAUGAACUUAGCUGCUAAGUUGAUGGCGACCGGCGCACGGGUGAGUAACGCGUAUCCAACCUGGCCCUUAGUAGGGGAUAGCCCGGCGAAAGUCGGAUUAAUACCCUAUGUUGUUUGAGGCAGACAUCUAAUUCAAACCAAAGAUUUAUCGCUAAGGGAUGGGGAUGCGUCCGAUUAGGUAGUGGGCGGGGUAACGGCCCACCUAGCCCUCGAUCGGUAGGGUUCUGAGAGGAAGGUCCCCCACAUUGGAACUGAGACACGGUCCAAACUCCUACGGGAGGCAGCAGUGAGGAAUAUUGGUCAAUGGCCGAGAGGCUGAACCAGCCAAGUAGCGUGCAGGAUGACGGCCCUAUGGGUUGUAAACUGCUUUUAUCAGGGGAUAAAGUCGCCUACGCGUAGGUGUUUGUAGGUACCUGAUGAAUAAGGACCGGCUAAUUCCGUGCCAGCAGCCGC